CAGUAAGGAAUAUUGGUCAAUGGACGCAAGUCUGAACCAGCCAUGCCGCGUGGAGGAUGAAGGCCCUCUGGGUUGUAAACUUCUUUUAUUUGGGACGAAACACUUUCUUUCUAGAGAGCUUGACGGUACCAGAUGAAUAAGCACCGGCUAACUCCGUGCCAGCAGCCGCGGUAAUACGGAGGGUGCAAGCGUUAUCCGGAUUCACUGGGUUUAAAGGGUGCGUAGGCGGACAUGUAAGUCCGUGGUGAAAUCUCUAAGCUUAACUUGGAAACUGCCAUGGAUACUAUAUGUCUUGAAUGUUGUGGAGGUUAGCGGAAUAUGUCAUGUAGCGGUGAAAUGCAUAGAUAUGACAUAGAACACCAAUUGCGAAGGCAGCUGGCUACACAAAUAUUGACGCUGAGGCACGAAAGCGUGGGGAUCAAACAGGAUUAGA
Molecule: ribosomal RNA, 433 nt
Filed under: uncultured bacterium
Lineage: Bacteria
Description: bacterial SSU rRNA
Rfam family: Bacterial small subunit ribosomal RNA
Source: RNAcentral